AAGAAAACUACAGUACCAGCAAGCACAAGGGCAGGAAAAGGAAGCUGUGAAAGAGUCUAUAAGUUUAGCAAAGCCUCCCAGGAAGCAAAACAUCUCGGGUCAGCUCUGGACAUUUCCAUUUAUUCCCUCCAAGAACAAGCCUUCAUCAGACAUUCGUAUGUGAGAAAGCAUCUGUGACUAGAGAAUGAAGUUGAUGAUGAAUGGGGCAUAAACAGCAACACGGUCAUCUCCAAAUCUCCCAGGCAGAAAAGCAACAUGAGCCCAU
This is a non-coding RNA of Pogona vitticeps (central bearded dragon), 265 nucleotides long. The record is from RefSeq and is a predicted model, not a curated record. Lineage: Eukaryota; Metazoa; Chordata; Lepidosauria; Squamata; Agamidae.